RNAcentral lists this ribosomal RNA (426 nucleotides) under uncultured bacterium. RNAcentral describes it as "partial 16S ribosomal RNA". It matches the Rfam family "Bacterial small subunit ribosomal RNA", at positions 354 to 796 of the family's 1533-position model. The record is from RNAcentral.
GUGAGGAAUUUUCCGCAAUGGGCGAAAGCCUGACGGAGCAAUGCCGCGUGAAGGAUGAAGGCCUAUGGGUUGUAAACUUCUUUUCUCAGAAAAGAAUUAUGACGGUAUCUGAGGAAUAAGCAUCGGCUAACUCUGUCCCAGCAGCCGCGGUAAGACAGAGGAUGCAAGCGUUAUCCGGAAUGAUUGGGCGUAAAGCGUCUGUAGGUUGUUUAAAAAGUAUUCUGUCAAAGAUUAGGGCUUAACCCUAGAUAGGCAGAAUAAACUUUUAAGCUAGAGUUUGGUAGAGGCAGAGGGAAUUCCCGGUGGAGCGGUGAAAUGCGUAGAUAUCGGGAGGAACACCAAAGGCGAAGGCACUCUGCUGGGCCAAUACUAACACUGAGAGACGAAAGCGAGGGGAGCAAAUGGGAUUAGAUACCCCAGUAGUCC